GCACAAGCGGGGGGGCAUGUGGUUUAAUUUGAUGCAACGCGAAGAACCUUCCCUGGGCUAGAAUGCUUCUGACCGGCCUAGAGAUAGGCCUUCCUGGGCAAAACCAGGCAGAGUGCAAGGGGUGCCAGGGCGUUGUUCAGCUCGUUUCUGGAGAGUUGGGGUUAAUUCCCCCAACGAGCGCACCCCUUUUCAAUAGUUCCCAGCGGUUCGGCCGGGCACUCUAAUGAGACUGCCGGUGACAAACCGGAGGAAGGUGGGGAUGACGUCAAGUCCUCAUGGCCUUUAUGUCCAGGGCUACACACGUGCUACAAUGGCCGGUACAAAGGGUUGCAAACCCGCAAGGGGGAGCCAAUCGCAAAAAACCGGUCUCAGUUCGGAUUGGAGUCUGCAACUCGACUCCAUGAAGCUGAAUCGCUAGUAUCGC
RNAcentral lists this ribosomal RNA (424 nucleotides) under uncultured soil bacterium. RNAcentral's name for it is "bacterial SSU rRNA". It matches the Rfam family "Bacterial small subunit ribosomal RNA", at positions 923 to 1345 of the family's 1533-position model. The record is from RNAcentral.